Molecule: non-coding RNA, 2657 nt
Organism: Oryza sativa Japonica Group (Japanese rice)
Lineage: Eukaryota; Viridiplantae; Streptophyta; Magnoliopsida; Poales; Poaceae
Source: RefSeq, a predicted model, not a curated record
GUCCUCUCCCCACGCCGCCUCCUCUCUCCCCCCCUCUCUGGCUCUCUCCCCCGUCUCCCCGAUCCCCUUUCUCUCUCCCUUCUCCGGCGCCGCUUUCCUCGCCGCCGUCCCUCUUCCCCUUCGGGUGCGCCGCUCCCCCUCCCCUACAUCCCGACCUCCGCCUCCACCGCCCUGCCGUCUCUGCCACCGCCACCGCCGUGGCGACUCGCUCCCGCCCGCCUAAGCCCACUGCCGCCGCUCCCGAGAGUGGAGGCGGGCGGAUCCGCGUGCUGCCGGCGCUCCCGUUCCUGCCAGGCCGCUCCCAAGGACGACGGCCGCUGGAUUCGUGCGUCACCGUCGCUACCGAGGACGGGGGACGACGAAUCCGCAUCGGUUUCUUCCUGCCCCGCCUCCUCACGGCGUGGGUCUGUCGGUGGGAUGGAGGUUCUUGCGCGGCGGCGCGGGCCGGGGAGCGAAAGGUGAGGACUUUGUGUGUGUUCUCUUGGUGCGUUUCUUGCUGUGAUUUCUUGGGGGAGCUGUUCGUGGUUUCUCCACCUGCGGCCGUGGACGAGAUUCUCCAUCUCUGCUUCGGGGGAUUUCUUGUGGGUUUCUUCCCUUCCUCUUCCUCUCUCUCCUGUGGCAAGGUGUGGGAGGACGGCCAUGGUCUGGAACUCUGGAUCUUCUCUCUUACUGAUUUUCCUCCAGCACAGACGAGCACCACGCGGAACCUGCGGCUCGCCGUCGACGGCGCCGGCACCAACAACCAAACUCGAACGUGGAGGGGCUUUUGGAAAGUUAAGAAUGGGGAUUUUCAUUUUUUGUUUUGUUUUGAAGCUUUCGCUAAUUUAUUGGUGCUGACCAUCUAGAGUGAGUUGAUGCCUUGCAAUUGGCUACUGAGCUCAGCAUUUGCUUUACUUGAUAGUGCUCAGUUUGGCAAUUGGAAUAUACCCAUCACAUGAUGCAAAUAAUUCUAGAUUACUAGCACUGCUUUGUUCUAUUUGAUUAUUUUUUUACUCAUCAGAUUAUGUCAGUGCAUGUCAAAAAGACCAGUCAGAUGAUGCCAAGUGAUCAAAAGAUAUAAAUACUGUCGAAUGAUACUAACCUUUGUACUCAUUUUAUUACAACAUGAACAAACCCUUCUUUCUUCAACCAAAUUCUACCAUCAAAGCAUGGGAUAGCUAGGGCCAUCUCAGUGCCGGUGAGCUGGGGACGUGGUAAUUUCCCGGAGUUUUCAAUUUAUUACUAUUCAGUUUCUUGAUGUAUGAGUGCAACAAGUUAGUAAAACAAGCUACAAUUUAUAAUCGGGUAGUCCUGUCCAUGUAUAACAUGGUUAUCUUUGUUUAUUUCUUAUCUUAUAUGCUAAGAUAUUUCUUCUCAUUUUUGCAGGGUGGAAGAUCUUUCGAUUUGUGAAGUUACACCAAUUUACUAACUUUGUGAUAUUGCACUAAAUUUAGGCUGACAAUCAUGUGUUCUUCAGUUCCUGGGUUAGCAUUGCUUAACACCAGCAUAAGCAAAUCUUGGAGCGAUGAGGAACUUGUGCGAUUCUUGGCAGAGAGGAAAGCAGCAGACUCUUUGCCGGAGAAUGUAGUGGUGGGGAUGAACUUUUCUCUCAUUGAUCCAUGGAAUUCAGGUUAGUGUCCAAUCUAUACAGAAAUUUAUUAUGACGUAUUCCUGGUGGUAUAACCAGUCUUGCAUUCUGAAUUAAUGGUAUUCUCCAACAAGACUAUGUCAUGUAAUAUCUGUGGUCUGCUUUUCAUAAUUCAGUCGUUAUAGACCAUGAAGGCUUCUUUGUUUUGUCCUUUUUGAGUUGUUAUAUAUAUUUACUUUACUACAGUUUAUUAUACGAUUCGGUAGUAUAGCAGCAUUUUAAUUCUUAAAUGAUAACUAAAGAAAGGGAAUCCUACAUAGAAUUGAUAACUAUUUAGGGUUAAAAGGCAUGGACCAUUAUGCAAAACCAGAAAGAAAUAUCUUGGGCUCUGAUGAAAGUCCAGAGUUAAGUGCACGAACGCAUACUUCAGCCCCAUUGAUUAUGGCAAAAAUUGCCUGCAUGAAGUGCUCAUAAACUAAAGUGGGAUGUUAUAUGAGAAAUACUUUGGCACUUCACAUUACCCUGAGCAUUUCUUUUUCAUUUUUCUUUGUAGCCUGUGCACCAGUUGCUUGCAUGUUUUCACUAGAAAAUUCUGAAUUACGCUAUUUGACGAUUAAAUUAUGUUCAAUGUGUUGCUCGGCUAGGAUCCUUUAACUUUCACAUCCUCACCAGAGUUUGCUAUUAUGAGAGGUCAUUGUUUGCCAGUUAAACUUUAAGUUUUGGAGAUGUCAUAAUGCACUAUAUGCCAUUGGUUAUUAUCAACUUUUGUUUUUAGAUACUGUACAAGCAGAUCAUGUGCUAAGAUUUUGGGGCUUCAGUUCACUUUUAGCAUUAAAAUGUGCACAUAAGAGGAGCGGUAGCAGCAGCAGGAGGAUAGGAGAUGUAAUGAGGCAAGAGUGAACUUGUGAGCUUUCUUAAAAACUGUUUAUUGCCCAGCAACGGCGAUGCGAUGUACACAGUCAUGACAGAGCAGAUGAGGUGGGACUUAAAUUUUAUUAAUCAGAGUAUAUGAUAAUGUUGUCAUCUGAAUGUUUGUAAUAUUCAAGACCUUAAUUGCUUUGUUUUGAUCUAAUUUUUUUAAUCUUUGAAA